GCGUGAGGCGGUGGGAGCGGGCGGUGGGAGCCGGGCCGCCUGGCAGGGGGACGCGAGCGGCGCUUCGGCAAGGGGCUUAAGGCUUUUGCUGUGUCGGUGCGGAGGGAGUGGCUGGGCUGAAUCCUGGGCUGGUCUCCGCUUCUUUGAGGCGGUUGUAGGACCUGGCCGGCUGCGCGGGGUGGUGGGAUCGCGGCCCUGUGGGGAUGAGGCGGGGCCCCGCCUGCCCCCCCCCAGCCCUGCCCGCACCUCGGGCUGGGUGAAGGCGCUAGUAUAGCGCGCUAGUAAGUGCUCAGAGUUUGUGUCUUGUGGUGGGGUCAACUUAAUAGAACUUGGUUUCUGAAGUGGUGACUUUCUCCUUAAAGGAGCGUAGAGUAGCUUUGAGGUGUGAGUCCCAGCCCCACUGCUUUGUGCUCGGUGUGAGAUCUUGACUUAAUCUGGUAAGGAGGACCUGCAGGGGGUCCUAAAACUGUCUUUGGCACCGAUGGAAGUAGUUAUUAAGUGUUGGUCCGUGUUGACCGUGGUUCUGAGCUCUUAGUGGUGAGGGCAUGACAGAUGAGAUGCAAUCAGGAGGCUGGGGAGCUAGUGGGACAAUGGCUUACACAGCGAAAUCCAAGCAAGUGUGGAAAUGUAUUGUUGAGUUUAGCAAAAGAAGCAGGGGAAUCACUGAUGUUGAUGAUAACUUGGAUAGUUCUUAUAGCCAGAGUACAGAAAAUAGCAAGUUCACCAUGAUGUUGACUCACCAGAACAUUGAAAGAUACAAAAGGUAUUUUUUGGUUUUAUAGUUUGCGAGUUUUCUGCUGAUUUUUGUCAGGGCAUACAGUUGAUUCCAGUGCGUCAAGCCUCAUCUCUUCACAUAAAGUGUGACGUAAGCCUUUGUCACAAGGAAAAUUCUCUCUUCCCUGAGCAGAGGCAUAAAUCGUUUGCUUAGUGAAUCAUGUAACUACAGACUAUGUCAAUGGCUGUAUAGUAAGUUAAUAUAGUUGUAGUACAGAUUAGUUUUAGAGUUGGUUGGUUUGUUUUAAAUGUAAAUGUGAAAUGAGAAAUAAGGAGUUAGUACAUUUACUAAGCCAUUCUUCAGGUUGCUGGUGAUGUUCUCCCUGCCUUAACAGAAAGAUGUAAAGGCUACAGAAUUAAGGAUGUGACAGGCUGGCUUUUAGAGCAGGAGCAGUUUUCCUGGCUCUCCCUUUCCCCCGUACUGUUGCUGGGUGCACUGGGAUGCUGUUGUUUUGCAGACCUGCUGUCUCCUCACCCUCCGAAGGCUUGAUUCCAGUAGAUGUCCUGUGGGUCUGCAAAGAUAAACCAAUUUUUUUUUAUCCUGGGAAAAUGGAGAGUAGAAAUCAGCUCUGCAGUGAGCAUGAACUUCUGACUCACACCUAAUUUGAUCUAAUCUAAAGUUUAUUGGGCUUAGGAAAAUCCUACUGGACUUCUUUUGGCUUUACUUCAGGAUGAUGGUUUGGGAAGUGAAAUUAUGUUGCAUCCAUGAGCACUUCAUAUCUUUUCAGUUUUCAUUCAUUUUCAUUGAAUCCUUUGUUUAUCAACAUGGAGUGAUAUGUUCCUAAACCAGUAAACCAUUUAUCUUCAUUGAAAUUAUUCUUUUGGAUUUGAAAUGUAAGACAUUUCAGGAAAUUUCUUUUAAAAUGGCAUUGUUGCUGAGUAAAAACAUUUCCCAAGGAAAAAAAAUUGUCUGAAAACAUUGCAAGAUUUUAAUUAAAAUUGAAUCAAUUUAAUUUUUCUAGACAACUAGAAAAUACAAUCUGCAAAAUUCAAUGAAAAAUUCAGUUUAAUUCUUUUUGUUAUUUAAUUCCAGAGGAUGCUUCGAGUUGUCAGACAGGAGAUGAACAUAUUUUUCCCCAUGAGGAGACUGCUUGCUAGGCAAUGUCAGUGACCACAAACAGCAGUCGCAAAGGAGGCUCGGAGAAUAUGGAAGCUCCUGGUACAGAUGUAUUCUUUUCUCAGGGAGGGAAAGCAGAGCAUAUAGGAGCAGACCUAUAGGAUAGGAAGUGUGUGUUCAGGGAUCUGAUUUCAAGUAGGAAACAGAAGCUCAUUGAUAUGAGUGCACUGGAGAUAAAACAGGGUGGGAAAAUACAUGCAUUCCUCAGUGUAGCUUUGUUCCCGCUUUAACUCCAGGUGCGAGAAGUUUGCUUUUUGCUUGAUUUUUGCAGUCAGUGACUGCCCACAGCCCAGACAAUUCCUGCUGCUGCUGGACAGCCCAGCCCUCUUGUCAGCAUCGUGAGAAGGAUGUGACCGGAACGGAUUUACCAUAGAGGAGACAAUAUGUGUGGGGAAAACCAGCAGCAGCUCAGCUGCGGUUCUCAUUUUGUUGGUGGGGAACUGCGACGAUGAACCUUGUGUGGAUAAUAUGGCUGAAGGUACUUUGCAUGGAAAAUCCUGAGCAGAGCCUGCAUGAAGCAUGUACCCACUGUAACUGUGUGAGCUGCCUGUAAAAUGAACUUCUGAAUGUCAUUUCAAAUACUGCCUGCAUUAUGACUCCAGAGAAAUUCAUACCUAUUGCUGUUCACGGCUCACAAGGUGGCUUUUGCUCAAAAGCAUUUUGAAAGUCUUUGUGGGCUGCAGCUGCAUAGUCCAGCCAGGAGAACAUGCCAUCUCCUGGGUCAUGAUGUGCUGGGAAAACUGUGUGGGAGACAAAGAGAUUACAGAUGUAAUCACAGGUGGCCAGAUCAAAAAACAGAGUGAGAGAAGCAUUUAGUCCACUCUUCUAAAAGGAUAAAAUGUUUCUCUGCAGCCAUGGAAAUGAAAACCAGGAUCAGAUUAAUACCUGAACACUAGCAUCCUAAGCUACAAUGCAUAAAGAAAUCAAUGUUUCAUUGCACCUCUGUAAAAUGAGACAGGGAGAUGAGUGAUCAGCACUGACCUCUUGGUUCCUCAGUGGGGCAGAAACCAAAGAUCCAUCAAAUGAAAGUUAGAGCUUUAAUUUUCCAGCAGUGGAAACCAGCAUUUUUGGCAUCUCAGUGGAAUUUUGAGUUUGUCAUUGUACCCCAAACAGGUAAAAGGAGUUUCCUAGAAGAAAUGUAAAAAUUAUCCACAUUUCUGUAUCUCUCACAAACCCCAGAAAUUCCAGAUUCUAAGGUUUAGGAAAAAAGUUGCAUAAAGCUGAGAUAUUUCCCUCAGUUUUAUCUUAUAAUAUUUUUCAUUUUUAUAUAUUUUAACAUUUUAUACUAUUUUACAGGAGGUAAAACUGAAUAACAUCAAUUUACAAAGGAAUUCAUACUUCCAGAUAAUAAAAUAGAAGUGGAUGUUUGUAUCUCCACAUUCUGGGAUUAAUAGUUAAGCUUAUUUCCUGAUUACUCCCUGUAGAAGUGAGUAGAAAUUUUUCACAAAAUAAUUUUUAUGAAUAUAUUGCUUUGGAUUAUAUUGAAAUAUUUCCUUUAAAUUUUAUUUUGAUGAAAAGUAUAUUGAAGGUAUUGUAAAAUUUAAUGUAAAUUUUAAAAAUAUUUUUUGCAUUGUAUUACAUUAAUUUUCAUUUUUGUAUAAUUUUUACUUUUGCUUUAUUCAGGUAUAGUAAUGGCAAUGUAUAUUAUGCAAUAGGCAUGUGUCCAGCUGUUUCAUUAUCAAACACAAGGUCUUUUGGGUUAGGAAGGAAAUAAAAGAUGUUUCAGUGGAAACUAUACAUGAGCUUAAUGAUAAUAUCUUAAGGAUUCUGAAAAUGUAAAGUAACUCCUCUGCUUUUAACAAGGCAUAAUAAAAUAAUAUAAAAUAAAAUACCAAAUAUAACAUCACAAAAUACUAUCUUGAAACCCUCUAAAGGACAGCUUUCUAGCAUGAAAGCGAUUGAUUCUGAAAUACUGAUUUUGUGGCUUUUUUGUCCAAUUGAGUUUUUUCCAGAUAUGCCAGUUUCAAUAAAAUGGUGUUUAGCGCCACAUGGGUUUUAAUAGACAAUCUUAUUUCUGAAAUUCUAAAUAGAAAUUGAAAAAAAUCCCUUUUUCCUCAGUCUUUUUAGGUAGUUUAGAAAACAUUAAUUUAUCUCUACCUCUUGUGAAUUAACUACUUGAUCUUCCCACCAAAGCAACUGCAGCACUAGCAAAUUUGGCAGUGCUGCAGAUCCAGUGAGGAUUUGGGUUUCAGGAAAAUCGCUACAGGGGGCUGGGGUGCUCGGGCUGGCAGGACUCGGCACACAGCACUAGGACGAAUGCAUUUUCCCAAAACACAAAACCUUUACCUGGGAAAGGUAAAACACCCAAAGAAAACAAAAAUCAGAUUUCGAAGACGUUUCAUCCAGGACUUCCCCUGACUUUACUGUUCAUCCUGCAUUUUUUGUUUACUUUUUUUUAGAUCUUCCAUUGAUUUUAACGGAAUGAAGUUUAUAGCAUAUAAACUUAUCUACCUAUGGGUUGCAGCAAUGUCCCGAUUAAUGUAAUUACAUGCUUUUGAGAGCUAUAUGUGAUUGGGGCGUGUGAAGAGGGCUCAGGCGGAAUGACAGAGGUGCCUGGAGUCUUGAAUCUUGCAAUUCAGCGAACGCAUGCUAAAUAUAGCAAUGGAGGAAAAUCAGACUGAUUCAUAGAUCGGUCCUGUGCGUGUUGGUUUUAAACAUUUGUGUCAGUGCUUUCCAGGCGGUCCUUUGGGAGCAGGGCUGUGGAAGGGGCACAGUAGCAGCAGGCGCGAGUCAAAGCCUGCAGCCAUCAGGUUUUAGCGGGUCCUUUUUGCUGGUGUUACCUCCCAUGCACGGUUGGCUGCUUCCCCUCCCAGGGACGCGGUCCGGUGCUCGCCAAAGGAGAUGAGUUUCUUCAUGCAAGCACAUGCUGGAAGUGGGAGGAGGGUUUUGCUGAGCCGACAAGACGCGUAUGCGCAGAUAAUUUCUGUUCUUGUAUCUAACUCCUUCCUGCAAAAUAACAGUGGUGAGUGGUGGUAACAGAGGAAGACAAAAAAUAGAAACCAACCUAAUGGAAACAGCGAGGGUGAUAGAUAAACUCAAUUUUGUUCUAGAAUGGUUAUUAUCAAGUUACUGUCACAGGAUAGUUUUGCCUUGUGAAAAUGCUUUUCAUGUCAGCUCUCUUUUUGUCUGGUUGUCUUUCCGAUCAAGAAGAUUCUGGAGCUUGCAAUGCGCAGAUUGUUACAUUUAUGGAAUUGAGAACAGGGAUAUAAAUGGAGGUAAAAUAAUAAAAAAGUUGAGAAGGGGAAUGAGCAAAGACCUGCUUGCGAGCCUUCACCUUGAAGGCUUGGGCACGCACGUCAGAGGAGUGAAAGGAAUCCCAUGGAGAAGGCAGGCGUGGCAAGGGGCUCCCUUGAACCCCUGGAUAUUCAGCACAUGAAUCCCUGAAAAGGCCAGGAUUUCUGCAGGAGAAUACUUUCUUCAGUUACUUUUCGCAGCAAGUAAAGGAGUUGAAGAACAUGGAAGUGCUUGGUAGAAGACACAUGGCUAUGGUGCCAGGGUUGGGUUGGCCUGUGCUCACUUACUAUGUGCGGACAUUAAAUAUUCAGUUUAAAUACACUGAAAAGAGAUGUAAAAGCUUUCCAGAUUUCCCAACUUUCAAAAAUUCCCAUCUCUCCUUAAGGAUGUUCUAAAGCACACUUUUAAUGAAUAGCCCUGAGUGAUUUUUUGUCACGUCAAGAUUCUCAUAGAAAAAUGAAUUAGUAGAAACUUUGGACAAACUUUUCAGUAAUUUAUACUUUUUACAUUUAACGUUUAAUGUAAAUUUGAUGUUGAACAGCGGUUCUAUCCCAUACUGCCUGUAUGCUUUUCAGUUGCAUCUUGCUUCCUGUUGUUGUAGCAUAGCUACUGGACACCAAACCGUGGAGCUACCAGAUGCUGUGUAACCUGUUUAGGAGGGGUGCGCUGAUUCCCGUGGUUUCACAAGUUCCUCAAAAAGACGUUUGGAGAGGCUUUCCGUCACUGACACGAACGGAGGCAGGCUGCCCAAGGUCUUUCUCAGGGCUAGAGAAAUGAUGCAGAGAUUUUCCCAUGCAGCAAUUCACGGUGGGGGCAGAGAUUGAGAGUUUCCUGGGAAGAAGCUGCCAGCCUGGCUCCGGAGCUUGGGCCCACUGCAAGCGGCAGGUGAGGCGCGAACCCUCGCUCCCAGCGGUGCCGUGCGGUGGCACAUCCGCGUCCCUCGGAACGUGCCCAGGCGCGGAGGAGGACUGUGGGAGGAAACACCUGCUCGUCCCUUCGAGCUGUGUUUCAUGCCAAGCCACGGGGAGCUGUCAGUGGCUUUGCAAUGCAUUCGGUCAAUGCUGCGUACUCACAAAUAUUGCUGCUGUCUGUGCUGGGUUUAAUUUGGGGGGGAUUGAAAGAAAGUACCUUGGGAAGGAUUGUACGAGGAGAAGACAUAUAAACCUUUCUUCCUGACUCAACUUUGUUAUUUUCGCAAAUGUGGAACACAUUUGGUCUGGCAUCCCAUUUGAUUUGUUUACUGCUUUUGUGUCCCACAUUUGGAGAGGCUUUCCAAAGACAGAUAUUUCUCUCAUCUGGCCUGGCUCUGUCUUCUGCACAGAAACCCCAGUAUGGGUGGGUGGAGUACACGUCCAGGGUGUUUGGGUGGGCCGUGAAGGGGAACACAGUGAACUUUUGGAAUAACCUGGGCUGUAGUUUCAGGCUUGCCAGUGGUUCAAGUGUAGAAAUUACGGGAUUUGUUUGGGAAAUGAUGUUAGACAAUAUCAGCUAUCGGCCCUUACCUUGGUUGCAUGCAGCUCGCUCUUUACGUGAUCUGCCCCUGGAUGUGGAUUAUUACAGCGCUGUUAUGAAUUAUUCUGUCUGUGUGCUUUGGAGAGUAUGCAAUAUGGCUCAUUUUCAAACAUCACUUCUGUUAUAAAAAUUAGUGGCUCCUACAGUGACCUGAAACUAGUCAGGUAGGAUUUAAAAGAGCAAAGAAUUUCACAAAUGGCUGAUUUGUUACUUCACUGUGGCAUGUGUAAAUAGUUCUGUGUUUCAGAAAAAUAUUCCCCCCUUGCAUUCUAGAUAAGACUAUUACUAGUUUUUCAUGCAACUAUAAUUCCCAGUUUAGGUGGGAUGUAUUUCAGUCAAAUCAACCUGAAAGGAGGAACAAACCCAUCCUCUCAGCCCAGCCUUUUUCCAGCCAGAGCCCCCUCCCUGGAGUCUUCCUUCUAACCUCCAUCUCAGCUGACCUUGUCCUUUUCAAAUACGCUGAGGAAUUAAGCAAGUACUAGCUUCACUGCCCUUGCCACCUGGUAUAUCUGCCAAAAGGGUUGGGAGAUCUAAAAAGGGUAAUUUUUUUCUGCAUAUACUCUGAGGCUCAGUGUAUAGACCCUGUCAUACCGUAGUCUUUCAGAAAUGCAUUGACUUCACUUGAACACCUCUGUAAUGGCCCAGAAGAAGACACUUUUCCCCAGAAGCCGGUGCCUAGCAUGCAUCAUUCUUGGCAGUAUCUGCAAAUAAACUUAUUGUAAUUGAUUUAAUAAUUUUCAAAUAAAAAAAUUAUGAUAGCUGCGGACAGCUAUAAAUAACAGAAAUGAAACACAUUAUUUGUACUGCGCCUUCACAUGCACUUGUUUAGCUCUUUUUGCUGUUAAGUUAAAACAUCUGUUUCUAUGGAAGUGGAGCAUUCCAUGCAACAAACACAGCACUGGAAGUGACCCACAUAUUAAAUGACAACAUUUGACAAAUUCUAGCAGUUGAUUACUGGGGAGGAGUAGACUGUGGUUAUAAUCAGAGUAAACCAAAACAAUGUGUACCUUUAUAAACCUAGAGUUUAAAUGAAACAUCUGUACUAAAUCAUGUUUGUAGAACAGCACUGUAGCCAACUACCAGACCAUAUGAUAAUGGGGUGUUUUUAACAAUCCCUAUUUCCAUUGCCAUCUUCCAAAUCAGAUCCAGACAGUGCCCACUGGCAUGAAUUCUGCUGGAAACCAAUUGUGAUAGUGUCAGGCUGCAGUGGAUGCUGUCAGUUUAGAUACAGAUACUCGUAAAAAGCUAGUGAUUCCGAUACCUCAUGGAGAUUAUAAGCACAGGUAGAAACUCAGGUGGAUAUUAGGGUGCUUCAUAGGCUACAGUCUUUUCCAGGCAUAUUUUAACUGAGGCUUACACCCUGGAAAAGGUGGAUAUACUGCAGUGACUGUGGAAUCUUAUUCUUAAGGAAACGUGAGUGUAUAGCAAGAAAAUGGGUAUUAGAAUUGCAACAGCAGGUCAGCUGGUGAUAAACCGAGAGUGCUCAGACUGGCACCAAACCCAGGUUUGGCAGCUCACUUAAUGCUUUGAGUCUGUGAAACUGGUAUACAAAAGUCAAGUAAGUACAAUUUUCUUUGAGUGCUUCCUGUUGCUGUUAAGUGGAUACAAAGCAAAAGAAAACUAGUUUAGUCCAUCUCUUUAUGUAGAUUCUUAAACUGAUAUUCACUAGUAGCAUGUGAACAUACAAAUUUUCCUAUUACUGCAGAAUUUCCCCUGAAUUAAUUUAAAAAACCAAACAAAUGCCCAAACUUUUUAUUAGCUUUACAUAGUCACUACAAUCUUCCAAAAAAUGAAAA
This is a long non-coding RNA of Harpia harpyja (harpy eagle), 8433 nucleotides long. RefSeq lists it as uncharacterized. The transcript has 3 exons. The record is from RefSeq and is a predicted model, not a curated record. Lineage: Eukaryota; Metazoa; Chordata; Aves; Accipitriformes; Accipitridae.